Panicum virgatum (switchgrass) is the source of this 579-nucleotide long non-coding RNA. RefSeq lists it as uncharacterized. The transcript has 2 exons. Lineage: Eukaryota; Viridiplantae; Streptophyta; Magnoliopsida; Poales; Poaceae. The record is from RefSeq and is a predicted model, not a curated record.
GUUCCAUGCCACGUGGAGACGCCUAGCGCAUUCUAGCUUUUCUUCGAUGUUGUCGAGACGGCUCCGGAAGCGUCGAGAUUUGACUACUCCAAUAUCCCCAUUCAAAAAAGCUUAUAAACUCUGAACUGAGCUCCAAGUGCUGCCGCCACUGCGACCGUGAACUCAGCAUCGCUUCCGCUGCAGAGAUGCCGGCCGUUCCGUCCACUGCUCGCCUGUUCAAGUCCCUGCCGCCGCCGGCUGGACCGUGGCUGGCCUCGCCACUGCCAUUUGGCUCGUCCAGCCCUUCGACUGGAUCAAGAAGACGUUCUUUGCGAAGCAACAACCUGAGGAAUCAAAUAACUAGAACUAGUAGAAUCCUGCAUUCCUGCUGACGAGAUGAACUGCUAGCUGCUAGCUGCUGCACAUACACCGCCUCCUUCUGUUACCUGUACGUGUGAUUGUGUGUGUCUGAUUCUAGCUGUCUCCGUGUUUGUUAUUCUUCUCGUCUCUAUCACCUUGUAAAGUUGUGAGCAUCACAAAUAAAUGGAACUUGUGAAACUCGUCGAUAUUGCUCUUCCAUUAUAUUUAUUUGUUUGUGCA